RNAcentral lists this ribosomal RNA (409 nucleotides) under bacterium. Its description in RNAcentral is "partial 16S ribosomal RNA". It matches the Rfam family "Bacterial small subunit ribosomal RNA", at positions 355 to 776 of the family's 1533-position model. The record is from RNAcentral.
UGGGGAAUAUUGCACAAUGGGCGAAAGCCUGAUGCAGCGACGCCGCGUGAGGGAUGACGGCCUUCGGGUUGUAAACCUCUUUCAGUAGGGACGAAGCGCAAGUGAAGGUACCUGCAGAAGAAGCACGGGCUAACUACGUGCCAGCAGCCGCGGUAAUACGUAGGUGGCGAGCGUUGACCGGAAUUACUGGGCGUAAAGAGCUCGUAGGCGGUUUGUCACGUCGUCUGUGAAAUCCUAGGGCUUAACCCUGGACGUGCAUGCGAUACGGGCUGACUUGAGUGCUGCAGGGGAGACUGGAAUUUCUGGUGUAGCGGUGGAAUGCACAGAUAUCAGGAAGAACACCGAUGGCGAAGGCGGGUCUCUGGCUAGUAACUGACGCUGAGGAGCGAAAGCGUGGGUAGCGAACAGG